Molecule: long non-coding RNA, 811 nt
Organism: Gasterosteus aculeatus aculeatus (three-spined stickleback)
Lineage: Eukaryota; Metazoa; Chordata; Actinopteri; Perciformes; Gasterosteidae
Source: Ensembl
GAGCAACUCACGUUUGUUCUCGUUGUCCGGCAUGUGCUGAAGUCUGGGUGCUUUGUUUGUUGCUCGCCAGUACCGUGCGGGUGAGCAAACCGUACUAAGGAGAAGGUCAGACCUGAACCAGACCUGGUGAGCCCAGGGUCCUACCUGCUGGUGCACAGGUGCAUUGGGCCAAGGAGGCUGAACUGGUGACACGCAGUGGUCAGCAUGACAGCCACUGCUCUUUUUCUCAGACCAUAGUUUUAGUUUAGAUUAUGCUCAAGUGCCUCCAUCUUGCUCCCUCUAUUCAUAGAAAUAACACACUGAUAUUGUGCCCUUUUGAUGACCGUUGCUUCCCCCUUCCCCACUUCUAUUGUGUUGUGUCUUUUAACUAGGAUCAGUAAUCGUAUUUGAGUGUGUUGGUUUGUAGUGUUACUUAUUUUAGGCUUUCUUAACAGUGUGCAGUGUUUUUAUUGUUGGAAGUGUCAUUGUGCCCCCGGUCAAUCACUACUGGUAUAAAUUAUUUGGAUGUGGUUUUAUAAAGUUAUUGUUUAAAUAAAAGUGAUAUUGCAUUGUACACGCAGAAGCCUCUGUCCGUCUAUGAUCUACCUCGUAUGGGGUUUUGGCCAAUAAGAUAAUUGAAUUCAGGGUCUCUCCCCUCCAAAGAGAGUGGCGUUGUCACGUCUGGAUACUAUUCCCAAAGUAUUUUAAGUGUCCAUUAGGUCACAACUAGAAUAGUUACUGUAGAUAUUAAUGUCCCACUAGUUAGCUUGAGUGAAAGCACUGCUGCUACUGUGGAAGCAGGACAAAAUAUCAUGUCUGUACAGUGAGAGGG